Molecule: ribosomal RNA, 253 nt
Filed under: uncultured bacterium
Lineage: Bacteria
Description: partial 16S ribosomal RNA
Rfam family: Bacterial small subunit ribosomal RNA
Source: RNAcentral
GACGUAGGGGGCGAGCGUUGUCCGGAAUCAUUGGGCGUAAAGAGCGCGUAGGCGGCCCGGAAAGUCGGAUGUGAAAACCUGGGGCUCAACCCCAGGCCUGCAUCCGAUACUCCCGGGCUCGAGGCAGGUAGGGGAGAUCGGAAUUCCUGGUGUAGCGGUGAAAUGCGCAGAUAUCAGGAGGAACACCGGUGGCGAAGGCGGAUCUCUGGGCCUGUCCUGACGCUGAGGCGCGAAAGCUAGGGGAGCGAACAGG